Non-coding RNA from Cajanus cajan (pigeon pea), 88 nucleotides. The record is from Rfam. NCBI's taxonomy places the organism in Eukaryota, Viridiplantae, Streptophyta, Magnoliopsida, Fabales, Fabaceae.
UGAGGUCUGUGAUGAACUUUAAUUGCCUACAUUGGCUGAGUAUCUUGUUUAAUUAGAUUAUGAUGUGUCCUAACGAUCUGAGACCUCU